CACACGACUCUCGGCAACGGAUAUCUCGGCUCUCGCAUCGAUGAAGAACGUAGCGAAAUGCGAUACCUGGUGUGAAUUGCAGAAUCCCGCGAACCAUCGAGUCUUUGAACGCAAGUUGCGCCUGAGGCCACUUGGCCGAGGGCACGCCUGCUUGGGCGUCACGU
This 164-nucleotide ribosomal RNA is filed under the name Poa annua. RNAcentral's name for it is "5.8S ribosomal RNA". It matches the Rfam family "5.8S ribosomal RNA". From Rfam's summary of the family: 5.8S ribosomal RNA (5.8S rRNA) is a component of the large subunit of the eukaryotic ribosome. It is transcribed by RNA polymerase I as part of the 45S precursor that also contains 18S and 28S rRNA. RNAcentral also lists the same sequence under 4 other names. The record is from RNAcentral. Lineage: Eukaryota; Viridiplantae; Streptophyta; Magnoliopsida; Poales; Poaceae.